CAAGACCUGUGUUGUACUAAAACACAUCUUUUGAAUGCAACCCAAACACUUUAAUUAAGCUAAGGCCUU
RNAcentral lists this transfer RNA (69 nucleotides) under Urostrophus vautieri. RNAcentral's name for it is "tRNA-Ala". Lineage: Eukaryota; Metazoa; Chordata; Lepidosauria; Squamata; Leiosauridae. The record is from RNAcentral.